This 294-nucleotide ribosomal RNA is filed under the name uncultured bacterium. RNAcentral describes it as "partial 16S ribosomal RNA". It matches the Rfam family "Archaeal small subunit ribosomal RNA", at positions 455 to 747 of the family's 1478-position model. The record is from RNAcentral.
GUGCCAGGCCGCCGCGGUAAUACCGGCAGCCCGAGUGAUGGCCGAUCUUAUUGGGCCUAAAGCGUCCGUAGCUGGCCGCGCAAGUCCAUCGGAAAAUCCACCCGCCCAACGGGCGGACGUCCGGCGGAAACCAUACGGCUUGGGACCAGAGGACCCGAGGGGUACGUCGGGGGUAGGAGUGAAAUCCCGAGAUCCUCGACGGACCGCCGGUGGCGAAAGCGCCUCGGGAAGAUGGAUCCGACGGUCAGGGACGAAAGCUUGGGUCUCGAACCGGAUUAGAAACCCCGGUAGUCC